RNAcentral lists this ribosomal RNA (427 nucleotides) under uncultured bacterium. RNAcentral's name for it is "bacterial SSU rRNA". It matches the Rfam family "Bacterial small subunit ribosomal RNA", at positions 355 to 774 of the family's 1533-position model. The record is from RNAcentral.
UGGGGAAUAUUGGACAAUGGGCGCAAGCCUGAUCCAGCCAUGCCGCGUGUGUGAAGAAGGCCUUCGGGUUGUAAAGCACUUUCAGUAGGGAGGAAGGGUGUUGUGUUAAUAGCACAGCAUCUUGACGUUACCUACAGAAGAAGCACCGGCUAACUCUGUGCCAGCAGCCGCGGUAAUACAGAGGGUGCAAGCGUUAAUCGGAAUUACUGGGCGUAAAGCGCACGUAGGCGGUUUUUUAAGUCAGAUGUGAAAGCCCCGGGCUCAACCUGGGAAUUGCAUUUGAAACUGGAAAACUAGAGUGUGUGAGAGGGGGGUAGAAUUCCAAGUGUAGCGGUGAAAUGCGUAGAGAUUUGGAGGAAUACCAGUGGCGAAGGCGGCCCCCUGGCACAACACUGACGCUCAGGUGCGAAAGCGUGGGGAGCAAACA